AAUGAACGCUGGCGGCAUGCCUAACACAUGCAAGUCGAGCGGAGAGGCGGACGGGGGGGUAAUGCCUAGGAAUCUGCAUGGGAGUGGGGGAUCCCGUCCGGCAACGGGCGCUAAGACCGCAUACUUUAAUAUGAGCCUAGGUCGGAUUAGAUAGUUGGUGGGGUAAAGGCCUACCAAGGCGACGAUCCGUAACUGGCCUGAGGGGAUGAUCAGUCACACUGGAACUGAGACACGGCCCAGACUCCUACGGGAGGCAGCAGUGGGGAAUAUUGGACAAUGGGCGAAAGCCUGAUCCAGCCAUGCCGCGUGUGUGAAGAAGGUCUUCGGAUUGUAAAGCACUGUAAGUUGGGAGGCGUUACCUACAGAAUAAGCCCCGGCUAACUUCGUGCCAGCAGCCGCGGUAAUAC
RNAcentral lists this ribosomal RNA (407 nucleotides) under uncultured bacterium. RNAcentral describes it as "partial 16S ribosomal RNA". It matches the Rfam family "Bacterial small subunit ribosomal RNA", at positions 29 to 526 of the family's 1533-position model. The record is from RNAcentral.